This 332-nucleotide unclassified non-coding RNA is filed under the name soil metagenome. Its description in RNAcentral is "partial contains 5.8S ribosomal RNA, internal transcribed spacer 2, and large subunit ribosomal RNA". The stretch from base 1 to 120 matches the Rfam family "5.8S ribosomal RNA", at positions 35 to 154 of the family's 154-position model. The record is from RNAcentral.
GAUGAAGAACGCAGCGAAAUGCGAUAAGUAAUGUGAAUUGCAGAAUUCAGUGAAUCAUCGAAUCUUUGAACGCACAUUGCGCCCGCCAGUAUUCUGGCGGGCAUGCCUGUUCGAGCGUCAUUUCAACCCUCAAGCACAGCUUGGUGUUGGGACUCGCGUUAAUUCGCGUUCCUCAAAUUGAUUGGCGGUCACGUCGAGCUUCCAUAGCGUAGUAGUAAAACCCUCGUUACUGGUAAUCGUCGCGGCCACGCCGUUAAACCCCAACUUUUGAAUGUUGACCUCGGAUCAGGUAGGAAUACCCGCUGAACUUAAGCAUAUCAAUAAGCGGAGGA